Molecule: ribosomal RNA, 450 nt
Filed under: uncultured bacterium
Lineage: Bacteria
Description: partial 16S ribosomal RNA
Rfam family: Bacterial small subunit ribosomal RNA
Source: RNAcentral
GUGGGGAAUAUUGGACAAUGGGCGAAAGCCUAAUCCAGCCAUGCCGCGUGUGUGAAGAAGGUCUUCGGAUUGUAAAGCACUUUAAGUUGGGAGGAAGGGCAGUAAGUUAAUACCUUGCUGUUUUGACGUUACCGACAGAAUAAGCACCGGCUAACUUCGUGCCAGCAGCCGCGGUAAUACGAAGGGUGCAAGCGUUAAUCGGAAUUACUGGGCGUAAAGCGCGCGUAGGUGGUUUUGUAAGUUGGAGGGGAAAUCCCCGGGCUCAACCUGGGAACUGCCUCCAAAACUGCAUGACUAGAGUACGGUAGAGGGUAGUGGAAUUUCCUGUGUAGCGGUGAAAUGCGUAGAUAUAGGAAGGAACACCAGUGGCGAAGGCGACUACCUGGACUGAUACUGACACUGAGGUGCGAAAGCGUGGGGAGCAAACAGGAUUAGAUACCCCAGUAGUCC